AUUGAACGCUGGCGGCAGGCCUAACACAUGCAAGUCGAGCGGAUGAAGGGAGCUUGCUCCUGGAUUCAGCGGCGGACGGGUGAGUAAUGCCUAGGAAUCUGCCUGGUAGUGGGGGAUAACGUCCGGAAACGGGCGCUAAUACCGCAUACGUCCUGAGGGAGAAAGUGGGGGAUCUUCGGACCUCACGCUAUCAGAUGAGCCUAGGUCGGAUUAGCUAGUUGGUGGGGUAAAGGCCUACCAAGGCGACGAUCCGUAACUGGUCUGAGAGGAUGAUCAGUCACACUGGAACUGAGACACGGUCCAGACUCCUACGGGAGGCAGCAGUGGGGAAUAUUGGACAGUGGGCGAAAGUCUGAUCCAGCCAUGCCGCGUGUGUGAAGAAGGUCUUCGGAUUGUAAAGCACUUUAAGUUGGGAGGAAGGGCAGUAAGUUAAUACCUUGCUGUUUUGACGUUACCAACAGAAUAAGCACCGGCUAACUUCGUG
This 484-nucleotide ribosomal RNA is filed under the name uncultured bacterium. RNAcentral describes it as "partial 16S ribosomal RNA". It matches the Rfam family "Bacterial small subunit ribosomal RNA", at positions 30 to 507 of the family's 1533-position model. The record is from RNAcentral.